AAUACUCCGACAGAUACAUCGAUAAGAGAGAAAUAUAAUACAUAUCUGCUACAUAUAUCACAUUAACAUUAUUCAAAGAAAGAUGUCAACAAGACCCGGCCAGUCGUCUGAGGAUACAAAACAUUCGAACGUCGAGACCACGUGUGCGCUGUCAAUGGUUUCCUCAGGCGAUGAGAACAGUCUUCGCGUCACAGCUCGACGUGACGAUCACUAAUCAGCAAUCAUCAGUGAGAAGAAUAGGCAAAUAUCUGGUCAAAUUUCGAGUCACGUUGACGUGAUUCUUGAACCACUA
Long non-coding RNA from Achroia grisella, 292 nucleotides. RefSeq lists it as uncharacterized. The record is from RefSeq and is a predicted model, not a curated record. The transcript is spliced from 3 exons. NCBI's taxonomy places the organism in Eukaryota, Metazoa, Arthropoda, Insecta, Lepidoptera, Pyralidae.